RNAcentral lists this ribosomal RNA (465 nucleotides) under Vreelandella stevensii. RNAcentral's name for it is "partial 16S ribosomal RNA". It matches the Rfam family "Bacterial small subunit ribosomal RNA", at positions 338 to 795 of the family's 1533-position model. Lineage: Bacteria; Pseudomonadati; Pseudomonadota; Gammaproteobacteria; Oceanospirillales; Halomonadaceae. The record is from RNAcentral.
CCUACGGGCGGCAGCAGUGGGGAAUAUUGGACAAUGGGGGCAACCCUGAUCCAGCCAUGCCGCGUGUGUGAAGAAGGCCCUCGGGUUGUAAAGCACUUUCAGUGAGGAAGAACGCCUGGUGGUUAAUACCCAUCAGGAAAGACAUCACUCACAGAAGAAGCACCGGCUAACUCCGUGCCAGCAGCCGCGGUAAUACGGAGGGUGCGAGCGUUAAUCGGAAUUACUGGGCGUAGAGCGCGCGUAGGUGGCUUGAUAAGCCGGUUGUGAAAGCCCCGGGCUCAACCUGGGAACGGCAUCCGGAACUGUCAAGCUAGAGUGCAGGAGAGGAAGGUAGAAUUCCCGGUGUAGCGGUAAAAUGCGUAGAGAUCGGGAGGAAUACCAGUGGCGAAGGCGGCCUUCUGGACUGACACUGACACUGAGGUGCGAAAGCGUGGGUAGCAAACAGGAUUAGAUACCCUUGUAGUC